ACUGCAUCCUUUCCCUCCCCUCUGCUUCUUCCCUCUUUAGCACCGACACUUCAUCCCUUCUCUCCUCUGCUUCUUCCCGCUUCCUCGUACACACUUCCUUCCGCUCUCUCUCUCCCUCCCUUAUAUAUAUUGACCCCCCAAGUAAAGCUAGCUUUGGCAGGGGCACGAUCACGCACCGCAACCUUUACCUGGGGCACGGCGAAGAUAGCGGAAGCGUCUUCCAACUCCAGCGAGUGCGUGACAACAGUAGCGCCAGGAGGGCGACGACGGCCAUAAGCCGCCGACCUCUGCAAGUCGCCAGAACAUGGCGUUUGCAUUGCCAUUGGGCGCAGGAUUUGCUGCAGGAUUGGCUGCUGGUGCUUUGCUGCGUCUAGGAGGACAGCCUACCUUGGUGCGUCUACCAAGGACGCCCCUAGCAAGGACCUGGUGGACCCCCCUAGGAAGGACCUUUACAGGUUCCUCUUUGGCACCAGGAGGAGAAGGCACAACGUCCAAGACCUCUUCCCAGUUGGAGAGAGAGUUGCAGGUGUGUUUGGCGACACUGGGUGAACUCCAAAGGCAUCUGGACGAGUGUAGGAAGGAACACGGUGAACUCGAAUCUGAACUCGAAGUGAGGGCAAAAAUCAUUUCGGAACUCGAAUUAAAGAUUCAAGUCCAAUUGGAAGUCGAAAUAAAGAUUAGGCUGGAAUUGGAGGAGUGUAGGAAGGAACACGGUGAACUCGAAUCUGAACUCGAAGUGAGGGUAAAAAUCAUUGGGGAACUCGAAUUAAAGAUUAAACUCCAACAGGAAGUCGAAAUAAAGAUUAGGCUGGAAUUGGAGGAGUGUAGGGAGACAAACGAUGAACUCCAAAAGCAAUUAGAGGAGUGUACAAAGGAAAAGGUUAUACUCGAAUCGGAAUUGGAGGCGUGUGAGGUGGAAGAGGGUGAACUCCAAAGGCAAUUGGAGGACACAAGGAAGACGGUGGUUGUGUUAGCAGAGGCAAAUGAGGCAGCUACAAAGGCAUAUGAUGCUGAGAAGGCAAAAAUUAUGAAGGAAAUACAGGUGUUAAAAAAGUAAGCAGCUGAGGAAGUAGGAUGUGACAAGAAGGCAUACUUAUCAUCGUGCAUCUCCAAAUGAUUACUUGAUUAGUGAUGCCGAUCUAUUGUGUUGCUAUGUAACCAUGAUCAGUUGGUACUAUGCAGUAAAAUAUAACAUGUAUUUCCUUUAUUA
This is a long non-coding RNA of Panicum virgatum (switchgrass), 1210 nucleotides long. RefSeq lists it as uncharacterized. NCBI's taxonomy places the organism in Eukaryota, Viridiplantae, Streptophyta, Magnoliopsida, Poales, Poaceae. The record is from RefSeq and is a predicted model, not a curated record. The transcript has 2 exons.